UGACAAAUCCGUUCGGCUAUG
RNAcentral lists this non-coding RNA (21 nucleotides) under Caenorhabditis elegans. The record is from RNAcentral. Lineage: Eukaryota; Metazoa; Nematoda; Chromadorea; Rhabditida; Rhabditidae.